Long non-coding RNA from Notothenia coriiceps (black rockcod), 785 nucleotides. RefSeq lists it as uncharacterized. The transcript has 3 exons. The record is from RefSeq and is a predicted model, not a curated record. NCBI's taxonomy places the organism in Eukaryota, Metazoa, Chordata, Actinopteri, Perciformes, Nototheniidae.
GCAGCAACAAACCAACAAUUUCCCACAACUCCCUGGUUCAGGUCAUGGGCGCUGAUGCCCUCCACAAACAGGCUGGGCGCAUUGCUGAUCUCCUUUAGCAGAAAGGAGGUGGUUUCCUAAAAUACAGCGAUGAAUUGAUAACAGGGAACUCUGCGUCCUCAAACAGCGUCUUGUCAUUGAUGCAGUUCCUCUUCAGUUCAGCGUAGUGCUGGUUUUUGUACGGGACAGCAGAGGAGAACAUGGUGCAGACGCUGAAGCCUCACAGCUGCAGAGGGAUGACACACAAUAUAAAAGGUGUGCUGCAUUGCUGUAACGAGGUUCAGACGCCGUGCACCUGGAGAAGGAAGUCCUUAAAAGCUCCAGUGCAGCAGCAGAAGAGGGGGAGUCCUCUGGUGUGGGGACUGCUGUGUUUAUGCUCUAAUCCUAGAAUGUGUAGUUGAACAUGUUACAUCUUGAUUAUAAUAAAUCUGGAUUUGAUGAUUUUAAAGGUGUCUUUUGUGUUCUAUUUGGGUCAGUGGUGGAAUUUUGUUUGCCCCAUAGGGCCACUUUAAGGGUGGGGCGUAACACUCACCAACACUAAUGUUUGUCAUUUACAGAAAUCUUCAGGUGGAAUUCAAACUCAAAACGUCUCUAAAGUGUUGUGUCAUUGGCACAAUAACUGUCAAGUUCUAAAGAAAAACAUGAAUUGUGUUUAAAGCUGGAUCUUGUCCCAUAAAAAAUGAAACUCUAACUCAGCUGUAUUCUCUGGAGAAAGAUGAUUUAUGAACUAUUGAUCUUUUUGUUCC